UUCAGAUUGGUUUGCCAUGGCUCUUUGAAACAGUUACUCUUGUCCUCAUUGUAGAGAUGGCGAUACUAAGGCAGAAUAUGGCUAGCCUGGACUUCUUUUUGUGGAGACUGGAUUCCAAGAUUGAAAGUAGAAGCUACAUGUUUUCUCCAAGCAGGGCUUUCAGACUUCACUUCUGCAACAUUUUAUUGAUGAAAGCAAGUCACAAGACCAGACUGAUUCAAGGGGUGGAGAAAUAGACCCUACUUCUUGAUGGAGGGAGGAGUAGAGUUACAUUGCAAAGGGAUCUGGACAAAAAAAGGAGUGAUUUAUUAGGAAUCAUGUUUAACAAUUUACCACAAUCCCCAGCGCAACUGCCUGUUAGCUGGAUCCAGAAAUGUCUACGACUACUGCAAUGCCACUUGGCCUUAGGGGUGAUGUGACCCAGUGUAAAGAGAUGGUGGUCUUAACCAAUCACAGUUAAGAUAGUUUAGUUUUGGAAGGUAUAAAAAAUAUGUAACAACAUGAAUGCACUUUUAGGGUCAGACAAGAGACUUGGAAAGAGCCUGCAAAAUGGAGGAGCCCUGAGGCCUAAGUCUCAUGAGUGUCAAUGCUUACCUGUAUCUAGACACUGGCAUCCCCCUUUUGAUAAGGCCAAGAUUGAUUGUUUUCCUUUUCUACCUACCCUAUAUCUAAUCCAUGUACAAACACUGUUGACACACAAAAGAACCCUAAAUUCAACAAUCUGUGAAGAAUUUUUGCACUAACAUGUUAGUUCAAAAACUCAACAUUGCUUGCUAAGACUAUUGCAAUAAACUCCUCUAUGAUCCCCUAA
Molecule: long non-coding RNA, 811 nt
Filed under: Homo sapiens (human)
Lineage: Eukaryota; Metazoa; Chordata; Mammalia; Primates; Hominidae
Description: long intergenic non-protein coding RNA 2941
Source: RNAcentral